This 440-nucleotide ribosomal RNA is filed under the name uncultured bacterium. RNAcentral's name for it is "partial 16S ribosomal RNA". It matches the Rfam family "Bacterial small subunit ribosomal RNA", at positions 338 to 795 of the family's 1533-position model. The record is from RNAcentral.
CCUACGGGUGGCAGCAGUGGGGAAUAUUGCACAAUGGGGGAAACCCUGAUGCAGCGACGCCGCGUGAGUGAAGAAGGAAUUCGGUAUGUAAAGCUCUGUCAGCAGGGAAGAAAAUGACGGUACCUGAGUAGGAAGCCCCGGCUAACUACGUGCCAGCAGCCGCGGUAAUACGUAGGGGGCAAGCGUUAUCCGGAUUUACUGGGUGUAAAGGGAGCGUAGACGGCUGUGCAAGUCCGGAGUGAAAGGCGUGGGCUCAACCCCCGGACAGCUCUUGAAACUGGACGGCUGGAGUGCAGGAGAGGUAAGUGGAAUUCCUAGUGUAGCGGUGAAAUGCGUAGAUAUUAGGAGGAACACCAGUGGCGAAGGCGGCUUACUGGACUGUAACUGACGUUGAGGCUCGAAAGCGUGGGGAGCAAACAGGAUUAGAUACCCGGGUAGUC